GGUGCUGUAGCUCAGUGGUGGAGCACUUUCCUUGCACAUAUGAGGCACUGGGUUUGAUCCUCAGCACCACGU
RNAcentral lists this transfer RNA (72 nucleotides) under Marmota monax (woodchuck). RNAcentral's name for it is "tRNA.Ala". It matches the Rfam family "tRNA". From Rfam's summary of the family: Transfer RNA (tRNA) molecules are approximately 80 nucleotides in length. Their secondary structure includes four short double-helical elements and three loops (D, anti-codon, and T loops). Further hydrogen bonds mediate the characteristic L-shaped molecular structure. tRNAs have two regions of fundamental functional importance: the anti-codon, which is responsible for specific mRNA codon recognition, and the 3' end, to which the tRNAs corresponding amino acid is attached (by aminoacyl-tRNA synthetases). tRNAs cope with the degeneracy of the genetic code in two manners: having more than one tRNA (with a specific anti-codon) for a particular amino acid; and 'wobble' base-pairing, i.e. permitting non-standard base-pairing at the 3rd anti-codon position. The record is from RNAcentral. Lineage: Eukaryota; Metazoa; Chordata; Mammalia; Rodentia; Sciuridae.